RNAcentral lists this ribosomal RNA (305 nucleotides) under uncultured bacterium. RNAcentral describes it as "partial 16S ribosomal RNA". It matches the Rfam family "Bacterial small subunit ribosomal RNA", at positions 508 to 808 of the family's 1533-position model. The record is from RNAcentral.
ACAGCAGUCGCCGCGGGAAUACGUAGGUCCCGAGCGUUGUCCGGAUUUAUUGGGCGUAAAGCGAGCGCAGGCGGUUAGAUAAGUCUGAAGUUAAAGGCUGUGGCUUAACCAUAGUACGCUUUGGAAACUGUUUAACUUGAGUGCAGAAGGGGAGAGUGGAAUUCCAUGUGUAGCGGUGAAAUGCGUAGAUAUAUGGAGGAACACCGGUGGCGAAAGCGGCUCUCUGGUCUGUAACUGACGCUGAGGCUCGAAAGCGUGGGGAGCAAACAGGAUUAGAGACCCCAGUAGUCCCUGUCUCUUAUACA